AGAACGAACGCUGGCGGCGUGCUUAACACAUGCAAGUCGAGUGCGCGUUCUUGUAGCAAUACAGGAAUGGCGCACGGCGCACGGGUGCGUAACACGUGGGUAAUCUGCCCUCCGAUGGGGAAUAACCCCGCGAAAGCGGGGCUAAUUCCGCAUAAUAUUCCUUGGACUCCGGUUCGAGGAUUCAAAGGCGUAAGUCGUCGGAGGUGGAGCCCGCGCCCGAUUAGCUAGUUGGUGAGGUAACGGCUCACCAAGGCAAUGAUCGGUAGCU
This 268-nucleotide ribosomal RNA is filed under the name uncultured bacterium. RNAcentral describes it as "partial small subunit ribosomal RNA". It matches the Rfam family "Bacterial small subunit ribosomal RNA", at positions 26 to 288 of the family's 1533-position model. The record is from RNAcentral.